Diuraphis noxia (Russian wheat aphid) is the source of this 351-nucleotide long non-coding RNA. Lineage: Eukaryota; Metazoa; Arthropoda; Insecta; Hemiptera; Aphididae. The record is from RefSeq and is a predicted model, not a curated record.
AGGUGUUAUUUCAUAGAUUAUUAUUAUCCAUUAUCCACUGACCGCUACAUUGAAAAAGUUGUGGUCCUCAAUCGUAAAGAGGAAUUCAUAAUCAAUAUUCAAUAUUGUAUUAUAAUCUACUUAUACUCCUGCAGCAGUACAUUAGAGCUACUGACGCACUUGUUGCUUUUUGUGCAAUAUUCGUUUUGUUCAUUUUUUCCACGUGGUCUUACACGGUUUUGGCCUAAGUCCUCAGGUAGUUUUAAGCGACGAGUGAUUCAUAUUUUGUAAUGGCUAGUGUACUUGUGGUUGGUGGUGGAGGUCGAGAACAUGCAAUUGCCUGGAAACUGACACUUUCUUCAAAAGUAAGAA